This 202-nucleotide long non-coding RNA is filed under the name Nicotiana benthamiana. RNAcentral describes it as "long non-coding RNA (NBEN_LNC020036)". The record is from RNAcentral. Lineage: Eukaryota; Viridiplantae; Streptophyta; Magnoliopsida; Solanales; Solanaceae.
AAGAAGAUUGGGGCUAGUUAUGAUCCCAAGAAACGCAAGGCUUCUUCACAAAGGACCCAUGUUGCAUCCAAACCAACCACAAAAUCUAAACCCUCAACACCCAAGUCUGCUCCUAGGUUAGAACAACUAGAAGCAAGGUUAAAGAGAGUGAAGCUGAGUUGCAGAAAGCUUUAGAGGAGAGUAAGAGAAAGAGAAAAGAAAA